AAAUUGAAGAGUUUGAUCAUGGCUCAGAUUGAACGCUGGCGGCAGGCCUAACACAUGCAAGUCGAGCGGAAACGAGUUAUCUGAACCUUCGGGGGACGAUAACGGCGUCGAGCGGCGGACGGGUGAGUAAUGCCUAGGAAAUUGCCCUGAUGUGGGGGAUAACCAUUGGAAACGAUGGCUAAUACCGCAUGAUGCCUACGGGCCAAAGAGGGGGACCUUCGGGCCUCUCGCGUCAGGAUAUGCCUAGGUGGGAUUAGCUAGUUGGUGAGGUAAGGGCUCACCAAGGCGACGAUCCCUAGCUGGUCUGAGAGGAUGAUCAGCCACACUGGAACUGAGACACGGUCCAGACUCCUACGGGAGGCAGCAGUGGGGAAUAUUGCACAAUGGGCGCAAGCCUGAUGCAGCCAUGCCGCGUGUGUGAAGAAGGCCUUCGGGUUGUAAAGCACUUUCAGUCGUGAGGAAGGUAGUGUAGUUAAUAGCUGCAUUAUUUGACGUUAGCGACAGAAGAAGCACCGGCUAACUCCGUGCCAGCAGCCGCGGUAAUACGGAGGGUGCGAGCGUUAAUCGGAAUUACUGGGCGUAAAGCGCAUGCAGGUGGUUUGUUAAGUCAGAUGUGAAAGCCCGGGGCUCAACCUCGGAAUAGCAUUUGAAACUGGCAGACUAGAGUACUGUAGAGGGGGGUAGAAUUUCAGGUGUAGCGGUGAAAUGCGUAGAGAUCUGAAGGAAUACCGGUGGCGAAGGCGGCCCCCUGGACAGAUACUGACACUCAGAUGCGAAAGCGUGGGGAGCAAACAGGAUUAGAUACCCUGGUAGUCCACGCCGUAAACGAUGUCUACUUGGAGGUUGUGGCCUUGAGCCGUGGCUUUCGGAGCUAACGCGUUAAGUAGACCGCCUGGGGAGUACGGUCGCAAGAUUAAAACUCAAAUGAAUUGACGGGGGCCCGCACAAGCGGUGGAGCAUGUGGUUUAAUUCGAUGCAACGCGAAGAACCUUACCUACUCUUGACAUCCAGAGAACUUUCCAGAGAUGGAUUGGUGCCUUCGGGAACUCUGAGACAGGUGCUGCAUGGCUGUCGUCAGCUCGUGUUGUGAAAUGUUGGGUUAAGUCCCGCAACGAGCGCAACCCUUAUCCUUGUUUGCCAGCGAGUAAUGUCGGGAACUCCAGGGAGACUGCCGGUGAUAAACCGGAGGAAGGUGGGGACGACGUCAAGUCAUCAUGGCCCUUACGAGUAGGGCUACACACGUGCUACAAUGGCGCAUACAGAGGGCAGCCAACUUGCGAAAGUGAGCGAAUCCCAAAAAGUGCGUCGUAGUCCGGAUUGGAGUCUGCAACUCGACUCCAUGAAGUCGGAAUCGCUAGUAAUCGUGGAUCAGAAUGCCACGGUGAAUACGUUCCCGGGCCUUGUACACACCGCCCGUCACACCAUGGGAGUGGGCUGCAAAAGAAGUAGGUAGUUUAACCUUCGGGGGGACGCUUACCACUUUGUGGUUCAUGACUGGGGUGAAGUCGUAACAAGGUAGCGCUAGGGGAACCUGGCGCUGGAUCACCUCCUUAAACGAUGAU
Molecule: ribosomal RNA, 1562 nt
Filed under: Vibrio alginolyticus
Lineage: Bacteria; Pseudomonadati; Pseudomonadota; Gammaproteobacteria; Vibrionales; Vibrionaceae
Description: bacterial SSU rRNA
Rfam family: Bacterial small subunit ribosomal RNA
Source: RNAcentral